AUUUAUAUCUGCCAUUAGAGAUGGAAGUUUGUAAUGACUUCGCGAAGAAGGACACGAAAAAUUUGUGUAUUUCAUGAUUUAUUUAAUUUUCUCUAUUAUCUGGCAUGAUGUAUAUUUGAUUUUCUGUGCUAACAUACCAUUUUCGUAUUCAAACAAAUUGUUUUCAUAAUGGUGAAAUAGGUAAACAAGGAAGCUAAAUGGUAAGAGAAAAUAAUAAACUUUUGAAAUCUUAUGAUGUUAAUUUAAUACUAUUUUUCUUAUUAAGCAUAUGGAACUCACUUUUUCCAUGCCCCCCAUAUGAGGAAGAAAAUGAGGAACCACAGGCAGACCUACCCUUGGAAGUCUAUGAGGAUCCCAUGGAUCCAC
Molecule: long non-coding RNA, 366 nt
Filed under: Carica papaya (papaya)
Lineage: Eukaryota; Viridiplantae; Streptophyta; Magnoliopsida; Brassicales; Caricaceae
Description: long non-coding RNA (CPAP_LNC010900)
Source: RNAcentral